Sitophilus oryzae (rice weevil) is the source of this 977-nucleotide long non-coding RNA. RefSeq lists it as uncharacterized. The transcript is spliced from 2 exons. NCBI's taxonomy places the organism in Eukaryota, Metazoa, Arthropoda, Insecta, Coleoptera, Curculionidae. The record is from RefSeq and is a predicted model, not a curated record.
AUAACAUUAGGUUGAUGAAAUUCAACAUUCAAGAGUGGAAUGAGGAUGAAAUUCAUCAUUGAAAAGCUCCUAAAUAAUUUGAGAUUUUCCACAAGUCGAUGGAUGCAUACAGUUCCAAAGCAGUAGAUUGUAGAUUUAUCCGUUUGAUGAUGUUCCUUCUGUUCAUCAGCGGAUUUCAAAAUUUUUACAUUUAAGCAAGUAAGAAAUUCCAAUGAGCCUCUGUGUUAUAUUUUAAUGGUUCCUUAUUAUAAUUGACUAUUUCAGAGACCAUCUAUUUUUUACUUAGGCCAAUUUUGCAUUUUAUCUUUUUUUUACUUAGAAUUUUACUUCAUGUUGCUGGUUUACUUUCAUUUCUUUAUAAUAGCUUGACUGCCAUAUUUCCUUCAUUGUGGCAAGAAUAUAAUUUUUCAAUUCUUUGCAAUAUUCCAUUGACUAUUUUUGUAAGUCAUUUUUAUUUGUAUUUUUUUUAUUGAGUUAUUUUUCUAAUACUUUUUUUCUUGUGCAGUUCCUUAUACAGAGAUAGUUUUGGUGGAUUCAUUUUCAUGUCAUUUUCAGAUAAUAUGCCAUGAAUUGCCAUAAUUUUACGGAUUCUGUUCCCAUUUUCUGUUGAUUCAUUUUCAUUCUGUUGAUUUGGUUUGCCUGUGUGUCAAUAUAAUUUAAACACAAUAAUAAUACACUUAAAAAUCUCCAAAUAAACUAAUUUCCCAUUAAUUCCUGGCGCAUUCGCCAUUCAUUCAAAAAACCUGAUGUCUAAUAUGUCGUUCUGUUUUUCCUAGCAUUUUUUCCAAUGAAUUUUCCUGAGUAACAUCGACUCCAGAGCAUCAUAGCUAGUCCCCCCAAAGAGGAGGAGACCCGGGUCGCCCCCUAACCCUGAUGUUCGGGCAUCGAUGACCUAUGUAGCAUGCAAAGGUACCCAAGGGAGUCACCACCCUCUGGUUUACGAGCUAGGUGUUCUAACGCUAGAGGCUUCGGCCGGA